This is a long non-coding RNA of Lolium perenne, 5505 nucleotides long. RefSeq lists it as uncharacterized. The record is from RefSeq and is a predicted model, not a curated record. Lineage: Eukaryota; Viridiplantae; Streptophyta; Magnoliopsida; Poales; Poaceae.
CACGUAAUACCUUUUCUCACGAAUCUUCUCCCCGUGUCUUCUUCACGGCCUCCCCUGAGCUCUCCAGUCUCCACCUUGCCCGAGCGCGCUCAACCCUGCCCUGACGAGAAGCUUCAAUUCAUCACCGACCGGAUUUUAGGCCGAGGUUGGAUCUCGAGGCGGCGAAUCUCAGGGUCGUUGGGGCUGACGGGCAAGCAUCUGGCGACGGCGGAUCGGUCCGUGGGCGGCUAGCGGAGACCCGUGGAGGCAGGGAGAGAGGGUCGGGAACCGGUGGCGGCGGCGGCCAAACCCUAGGCAGCGUUGCUCCAGUGUGUGCGAGCGGUGAUGGCCGGAUCGAGCUGGUACCUGUGCGGCUGGUGGCAUCUCAGGUAAUCCAAGCGGUGAACUACAGGUAAGUUGGGUACUCCAAACCUUGCCUGAUGCUCCUUUUGUUCUUGAUAAUGUGGAGCUAACUAGCUGAGCCGGAUGGUUACGGAUCGAAAAAAGGUUGCGGCGCCCGGCCCUUUUAAAGCUGCUCUGGUGGUUUCGACCUGGAGCAUGCGCGGCGGUCUCCGGCGACCAAGAAAAUGGCGGCGCGGCCGUAUGCGUCGGAGCAGCGGUGUGGUGUGCAUGUAUGGCCUACAGGCAAGAAGUGGCAAACGUGCGUGCGUGUGUAAUGGAGCAACCAAUUUUUGCAAUCGUUAGAAAAAGGAGCUUGGUUGUCGAUGUUGCCCCUUGGUUCAUGGCGCUGUCAGGUGUCAGCCGUGAUUUCUUCUUCUCUGUCGGAUUGGCAUGUUAGUGCUGCUGCAAAUUAUGGUGGGCCGGCACUGCUGUGGUGGUUUACGGAGGGAUCAGUGUUGGUUUAUUUGAUGCUGAUCAUUUUGGACCUCUGGUACAUGUGCAAUUGGCCCGGAAUUGUGCGGUGUUUCUUCAGACCACUUUGUUCAUGAAGGCAGGCAAACUCUGCGCGGAGGAGAAGAAACCCUUCCGAAAGAUGUAUCCCGUCUGUUGAAUUGCUUGAAAUUACUUGUGCAGUGUAUUCAUGAUCCGGGAAUUCAGAAGCGGGAGACACGAGAAAAAAGCUUGAUUUUGUUGUGGUGGACUGUCAGUGUCAGGUAAACACUACACAACCAAAGAAUUAGGCCGAGUUCCUCCUAUUGUACUCAACACUAUGAGAUAUAAGAGGUAUUAAAAAGGAGUCAUGUAAGUGACUAGCUUAUUUUCCCAGUAUGUUUAUUUCAGUGCUCCGACCAUCAACGGCCACUUAAUAUUCUUCAUGACCAACAUGUCUUGCCCCAAUAUCCCAAUGCACGACUGACUUAAUUAUAGAUUAUUGUUCCUCCUAUGUUUUCAGUUAAAAAUAUCGUUUGACACACCUCAGAACUUUCUUCUGAAUGUGUGAUGGUACAAUGGAGAGUCUACUACCAGGAAAUCGAGUGAAUAUGUUAAAAUAAUCAGCAAAGUAAGCGAUCUGUGUAUACAAUGAACCUCUAUGAUGCAGAAAGAUGUACAGGUCAACUGACCACCCACUGAGAAUUUGCUUCACACAGAAAAUAAUUCUUAAAAAGGUUGUACCCCGUACAAGGCUUUCCUAUGUUUGCCAACAAUGCAUUUCCUUUUUUUAGUGCCACAAGAAUGCAUGAAUCAAAAUAGUAGAUAUCACAUAUGCCACGAUAGAUAGAUCACCAACUUAAAAGUGAUUUUAUUUACACUUGGGCAUAAUUUUGGUGAGCUGUCAUUGUGAAAUUUUCAUUUGUGAAACUUCUCUCUAUUGCAGCUAAACUAUAUAUGAAUUGCGAAAUAUAUUGACUAUUUCCUGCAGUUGAGUUUUUUUUUAUUAACUAGACUAUUUAGUAACUUGAGUCCAGUUCUGAUUUGUCCCUACAUGGUGUACAUUCAUGUUCCACACUAUAGUUGUUUUUUGUCUGGCCAACCAUAGUAUGGGGAUUUUCUAAGAAUUUAUUAACAUGCUAAUUAGGCAUUUUAUUUAUUGUAUCCACCUUGGACUAUGCUAUUGUUCAGUUCCUAAUUAACAAUGCAAGUUUUUUGUUGCUAAGUGAUGCUAACAACACUAUUUUGCUAAAUCAAGAACGCUGUUUGUGCCCAUUUGAGCUAUAUUACAGUGAUAUUUUCUAGGGACUUCAGUUUGUUCAGCCCAAGGCAAACCACAUCACCUAUCUACAGAAAUGCUCAAAAUUGGCAUGGCUUGAAGGUAAUAAUACUGCUCAACUACAAAUAAUUAUAGUUUGUGUUCGGUGUCUUGGUAAUGCAUCCAUUUAUCUGGAACAUAAAACAUUUGUAAUGAACGUCUCCACCUGUUUUGAGAAAGUUACUUAAUAUGGAACGAUUAGCUCUAUUAGCAUUUUCUGAUGCGAUGGAAAGAAACCUUUGAAAAAUUAUAACCUACUAGAAAGGGAUGGCACAUCCAUGUUAUCUGAUGGUUGUUCCCGUGGAGGUAAUGCUUAUCAUAGGCUCUCUUCGAGGCUCCGUUGAGGCACUUGGAAAUUUAUUUAUUUACAAAUUUGAGUAUUUCAUCGUAUUUCUAGAGAACACAACAUAUAUUGGCUCACGCAACUAUGCUUUCUUUUAUGUUACACAAUUCUUUUUAAGGAAUUACAGCAGGAGAGACUCCUACUGCUCAUGUAUAUUAAAAAACUAUUUUACAUUACAUUUUAAAAUGCCAUGGAAAGGCCAUGGCUCAUGCCUUCAACUCUAGACUCUCAAAGUUGGAACUAAUCUUACACCAACUAUUGUUGUGCAUGUCAUCUUCUGUAUCAAUUUCUCAGAAUACUGCAUCCAUAUGUGCAACCGUUAGAAAGAUCGUCUUGAAUGCUAGCUCAUUCAUGUAUGGCCAUACAAAAAACUUCUUUGGUUCAGUUAUUUUCAUACAGUAAUUCGGAUAAAUCUAUCUUUGUUUUUCCAUACAGGAAUUCACAUAUGAGGCACACCCAUCUUUCUCCUUUUAUGCACUAAGGUACAUGCAUCUCUGAUGGUUUUUGCAUGUUGGGUGUCUGAUGAGUUGAUUCUUAGGAACUUAGGUAGAGAAAGAGUUGGCUAUGAAUAACAUGAAUCAAUUCAUCAGAAAAAAUUGGCUACGAAUAACAUGAUAUAUCCUAUGCUCUUAUCUACGAUUCUUCGAGCUGGCUAUUCUUUCUUUUCUUAUCUUCCUAGAGUUGUAUUCUUAUCUUGAACACAAACUAUAGCCUGUGAGCUGAGCUACCUUCUGAUAAUUACAUCAUGGUGUCUAUCUGUCAUUCUGAAGGUGGUAUUAUUUAUAUUAGAAGCCAGUCUUCAGAUACCAUAAAGUUUGAUCACACAUCUCACUGUUUGUAUCAUGGUGUCUAUCUUACAUUCAUGAUUGAACUAGAUAAUUGUUGCCCUAUACUGAACUAACCUGGCACAAAUAUCAGUAAGAUAUCUCCUUUCAUUAAAUGUUACUACCUCACAUAAAAUUUAGCGUCAUGUGCCAACUGUUGGACUAAUUUGCAACACCGUCGGUUCUGGCCAUUCCUCACACUCUCCUGGAUGAAGGUUUCAGUAUAAUCAGUGUUCCUUUUAAAAUCAAGAAGUUUCAGGCGGUGCAGAGUUAGGAUAUGUUUUUUCUCCAAAUAUAUUCAGAUGCUCUUAUUGAUGCAACAAUAAUAUAAAUAUUAGAGGUAAGAAUAAUUAGGUGAAAGUAGCAGCUAAAUUACUUUUGCUGUAAUGCAUGGAUAGUGCAGGGUUUGUACGCUUGGAUGUUGCGGCUUAUGCUAAUAUGCUGAUGGCUAUUCCAAGUUUGUGUGACUCAUCACUACUUCUUUAUCUCACAUUUUUACCAGUUUGGAGAAAUAAGGCAUGUAUAAUAUUGUUUCAUUGAAGGAUCAUGUUCUUUUUUUAUCAAUUGCUUAGUUAUGCUCCCAUUUUCCAAUUGAUCUCCAACCAUUAGUGAUAGAUAGUUUAAGAAGUCUCACGUCAUUGUCCAGUUUGAUUGAAUAAUAGCUCGGGAUUAGUCCAUUGCGGUGUGUUCUCAUAAUAGAUAGAUUUUCUUUCAUCAGUUUAAUAUCUCUGCCAGUACGACUAGAUGGAGUUUCAGGAUUGUGACAAUUAUUCAGUUAUGUUGUAACUUUUGUGUUAUCAAAUCUUUUAAGGAAUAUUUUACGAGGGUGUGUGUAAUAUCACUACCACUAUGACAUUGAUGGAGUUUCAAGAAUGUGAUAGUACGAUGUGUUUCGAGAGAUUACCUUCUUUGGUGCAUCUACAACGGUUUUGCAUGGUCUCAUGGUCAGCCUAAACUAAAUAAGUAGUUUUAUGUGCUUUAAUCCUCAUUCGAAAUACUAGGUCUUCUUUUAAGUUCGAAAGCUUGCUAACUUGUGCAAAUUCAAUAUCAAGCAACGACGACGAGCUUUUCUUAUAGCAUGAUGCAAGUAAAAUUUACCACCUCAAAAAAAAGUAAAAUUUACAAAUCUGGUGGUGCUUACUCUCACAUGGAACCCUACGACUCUGCCAUGCUGGUAUGGUGUUUGUACUACUUAGCAAAAUAAAUUAUCAAGGGUCCUCAGUUAGAUAUCUUAUAUCUGUCCAUUGUGCCUUUACACACUUAAUUUUUUUCUGUAUUUGAAUCAUGGGAGCACACUAUGCUCUCCAAACUCCAGCAAGUUGUAUUUUCCUUCCAAAAGAUUGGGGCUAAUUCAUCUCUUGAUAUAGGGUUUCCUCCUUGGUUCAUAGGAUUUGUUCGUCUACAGUAUUAUUCUGAACAUACUAGAAUACAGAAAAAACUAAAGAGUUGCAUCUUAAAAAAAAAUAGGAUAUACAUGGCAUACCACUGUAUCUGUGAUUUACAUUUUGUGUUCAUAAAUUAUGCUGGCUAAUAUGAAAACUUCAGUCACCCAUACGCUUCAGUUUUUACAGUUCACAUCAAUAUAUGUGACAUUCAUGCCAUUGACAUAUAACUUUGUAGAAUACGUGAAGACAUAUGAAUUUUGCAUGUUUCUUAACAUAUGCUUUACUUGUGAACAGGUAUUUAAUUAUCCAAUUUCCUUUUAUUAUUUCAGGUAUGUACCAUGUCCAAUACAAGUACUGAAUUAUACAGAUCUCAAGUUUCAUUAAUGCAGUGCAUCUCCUUAGUGUCUGAAAGCAUCUAGAAUUCGAGUAGUAUGUGGGAAUAUUGGUCCUUCAGGGGCUAUUAAUGACAGUUGUUUUGAUUUAUAUAUGUAUCAUGUGUCGUGGUUUGAGGGAUCAAAGAAAGCUAGAUAUGCCAAAAUCUCAGGAUAAGCUAAACCUAAUAUAAGAAGGCAAUGAGUGACCGAAGAGGUUAGUAAAAAAUGUCUUACCUUGCAGUACAGAAAGAAUAUGUCACCAAAGGGCACUAUCUUACUGUUGCAGUUGUCUGCCAUCUUUCCUAUGUUUUCUCUUACAUGGAGUUCAGUCUGGAGCCGACCAUAUAUGGUAUCAAGUUAUCCAUGGAGUUGUUUUUUUUUCUUCUAAACUAAUAGCAACUUCUGGCACUCAGGUGACAUUGUAAGAGGUAGUACUGUAUCGUUCCAUGGA